Molecule: transfer RNA, 66 nt
Filed under: Sphaerodactylus townsendi
Lineage: Eukaryota; Metazoa; Chordata; Lepidosauria; Squamata; Sphaerodactylidae
Description: tRNA-Thr
Rfam family: tRNA
About the family: Transfer RNA (tRNA) molecules are approximately 80 nucleotides in length.
Source: RNAcentral
GCGGCUCAGUGGUAGAGUAUCUGCUUUGUAAGCAGAAGGUUUGAAGUUCAAUUCCUUGCAUCUCCA